GGCUGUCGUCAGCUCGUGUCGUGAGAUGUUGGGUUAAGUCCCGCAACGAGCGCAACCCACGUCUUUAGUUGCCAGCAUUCAGUUGGGCACUCUAGAGAGACCGCCGGUGAUAAACCGGAGGAAGGUGUGGAUGACGUCAAGUCAUCAUGCCCCUUACAUCCUGGGCUACACACGUACUACAAUGCUACGGACAAAGGGUUGCAAGCUCGCGAGAGUUAGCUAAUCCCAUAAACCGUGGCUCAGUUCAGAUCGUAGGCUGCAACUCGCCUACGUGAAGGAGGAAUCGCUAGUAAUCGCAGGUCAGCAUACUGCGGUGAAUACGUUCCCGGGCCUUGCACACACCGCCCGUCACACCAUGGAAGUUGGCCAUGCCCGAAGUCGUUACUCCAACCCUUGUGGAGGAGGACGCCGAAGGUGGGGCUGAUGACUGGGGUGAAGUCGUAACAAGGUAGCCGUACCGGAAGGUGCGGCUGGAUCACCUCCUAA
This 486-nucleotide ribosomal RNA is filed under the name uncultured cyanobacterium. Its description in RNAcentral is "bacterial SSU rRNA". It matches the Rfam family "Bacterial small subunit ribosomal RNA", at positions 1047 to 1533 of the family's 1533-position model. The record is from RNAcentral. Lineage: Bacteria; Bacillati; Cyanobacteriota.